GAUGAACGCUGGCGGCGUGCCUAAUACAUGCAAGUCGAGCGAACAGACGAGGUGCUUGCUCCUCUGACGUUAGCGGCGGACGGGUGAGUAACACGUGGAUAACCUACCUAUAAGACUGGGAUAACUUCGGGAAACCGGAGCUAAUACCGGAUAAUAUAUUGAACCGCAUGGUUCAAUAGUGAAAGACGGUUUUGCUGUCACUUAUAGAUGUAUCCGCGCCGCAUUAGCUAGUUGGUAAGGUAACGGCUUACCAAGGCGACGAUGCGUAGCCGACCUGAGAGGGUGAUCGGCCACACGGGAACUGAGACACGGUCCAGACUCCUACGGGAGGCAGCAGUAGGGAAUCUUCCGCAAGGGGCGAAAGCCUGACGGAGCAACGCCGCGUGAGUGAUGAAGGUCUUCGGAUCGUAAAACUCUGUUAUUAGGGAAGAAGAAAUGUGUAAGUAACUAUGCACGUCUUGACGGUACCUAAUCAGAAAGCCACGGCUAACUACGUG
This 497-nucleotide ribosomal RNA is filed under the name uncultured bacterium. RNAcentral's name for it is "partial 16S ribosomal RNA". It matches the Rfam family "Bacterial small subunit ribosomal RNA", at positions 28 to 507 of the family's 1533-position model. The record is from RNAcentral.